Molecule: ribosomal RNA, 253 nt
Filed under: uncultured bacterium
Lineage: Bacteria
Description: partial 16S ribosomal RNA
Rfam family: Bacterial small subunit ribosomal RNA
Source: RNAcentral
UACGUAGGGGGCUAGCGUUGUCCGGAAUCAUUGGGCGUAAAGAGCGUGUAGGCGGCCCGGUAAGUCCGCUGUGAAAGUCGGGGGCUCAACCCUCGAAUGCCGGUGGAUACUGUCGGGCUAGAGUGCGGAAGAGGCGAGUGGAAUUCCUGGUGUAGCGGUGGAAUGCGCAGAUAUCAGGAGGAACACCAAUAGCGAAGGCAGCUCGCUGGGACGGUACUGACGCUGAGGCGCGAAAGCGUGGGGAGCGAACAGG